Molecule: non-coding RNA, 1002 nt
Organism: Camellia sinensis
Lineage: Eukaryota; Viridiplantae; Streptophyta; Magnoliopsida; Ericales; Theaceae
Source: RefSeq, a predicted model, not a curated record
UAAAUAUUACCUCUCUUACUGAACAGAAAUACUCAAAUAAGAAUGAAGUGGAUAAGAAUGAAGAAAGGAAGAAUAGAAAACACUUUUUUUGAGCUUAAGUCUUUUCCUUUUUUAUUUGUUAUGUUUCUUUCUUUUAAUAAUAUCAACGAUCUUGUCAUUUAUUUAUUUUAUAUCUACAAUCGUGGUUGUUCUUUAAUUUUGUUCCUAAGAGGUUAUGGUUAUUCCAAAAGCCAUAUAGAGUAUAAUUGUUUCAUUAUAAAUUUUAAUUAGUGGGUAGUGCUGGUGGCAUUCUGUAUCUUAACACCAAGCAGCCAUUCACAACGUGUAAAUGCUGAUUUUCCUUUAUUGUUUUCUUCUUGCCUUCGGGCCAUACCCUUAUUCAUAUUUUAAGUUUUGUCGUAUUGAUGUAUCAAUAUUAUAUAAUAACCAUAUCCAUGCUUCAUAGCUCGUAUGUAGUUUCAUAGAUCUGCAAAUCACCAAAUAUCAAUUCAACCCCUUCAUUUUUGCUUAUAUUAUAUAUUUCAUUGGAUUUUUUUUGUCUUAUCACUACUAGGUGCUGGUGGUGGAAGGAAUGUGAGUGCUCAUAAGGAAAAUGGAGUCAGUAAUAGCAUGGAGAGAGGUUUUAAGCCCUCCCUGUCAGUUCCAGAAAAAACAAAAAAUAAUGCGAACCCUCAUGUCAUAAAAUCUUCUACCAUUUCAGUCAAUGGGCCCACACAUGUUCCUGAUGGCAGUUCCAGUUCCAGUCUGUAAAAGAAUCCCAGAUUCUUGAAAAGAAUCAGCCGUUGGAGCCUUCCAAAGAUAUUUCCGGAGUAGCAGUUUGCUUCUUGUGGAAUGCAGGCAUGUAAAGAUUAAAAUAUUAACCCAUGGAAGAAUCAUGACGAAAAUUUUUGUUUUUAAUUUACAUUAUUUAGAUUUGUGAACAACAUUAUGUAUGUAUUAUGCAACAUUAUGUAUUGGGAUAAUUUUGCUGAUGUAUUGUUAUGAAUGGAAGAAUAUUUUAAU